This 506-nucleotide ribosomal RNA is filed under the name uncultured bacterium. RNAcentral's name for it is "partial 16S ribosomal RNA". It matches the Rfam family "Bacterial small subunit ribosomal RNA", at positions 29 to 523 of the family's 1533-position model. The record is from RNAcentral.
AGUGAACGCCGGCGGCAGGCCUAACACAUGCAAGUCGAACGGCAGCACAGGAGAGCUUGCUCUCUGGGUGGCGAGUGGCGGACGGGUGAGGAAUAUAUCGGAAUCUACCCUUUCGUGGGGGAUAACGUAGGGAAACUUAUGCUAAUACCGCAUACGCACUGAGGUUGAAAGCGGCGGACCGCAAGGCGUCGCGCGGAUGGAUGAGCCGAUAUCCGAUUAGCUAGUUGGCGGGGUAAAGGCCCACCAAGGCGACGAUCGGUAGCUGGUCUGAGAGGAUGAUCAGCCACACUGGAACUGAGACACGGUCCAGACUCCUACGGGAGGCAGCAGUGGGGAAUAUUGGACAAUGGGCGCAAGCCUGAUCCAGCCAUGCCGCGUGUGUGAAGAAGGCCUUCGGGUUGUAAAGCACUUUUGUUGGGAAAGAAAAGCGGUCGGUUAAUACCCGGUCGUUCUGACGGUACCCAGAGAAUAAGCACCGGCUAACUUCGUGCCAGCCGCCGCCGUAA